RNAcentral lists this ribosomal RNA (798 nucleotides) under Triticum aestivum (bread wheat). RNAcentral's name for it is "partial small subunit ribosomal RNA". Lineage: Eukaryota; Viridiplantae; Streptophyta; Magnoliopsida; Poales; Poaceae. The record is from RNAcentral.
AUGAAAAAGGGAGGAUCAACGCUCGACAACAGAUCUGUCGUGCCAUACAACAGAAACCUUUUGGUCAAAGUCCAAGCUAACAUAAACGUGGAGUGGUGCAAUAGGUCCAGGUCAAUCAAGUACCUAUUUAAGUACAUCCAUAAAGACGAUGACCAAGUAACAACCUUACUAAAGGAAAGGGGUGCGACAAAUGACUACGAUGAGAUCAAAAAAUACCUAGAGAUGAGAUACAUAUCAACAACCGAAGCAUGCUGGCGGAUAUUCCAGUUUGAUCUUCACCAUCGUGAUCCACCGGUCGAGAGUCUGCCAUUGCGCAUUGAAAAUGAGCAACAAGUUAUUUUUCCGGACUCGACUGACAUUGAGAAGAUACAUCAAGCUAGGGAUCAGGCACACAAUUACGACAGCUAUUCACCACAAUUAAUGAUAAACGAAGAACUUAGCUAUGACAUGGAGGCACUAAAGAGGGAGCACCAAACAAUAAUACGCAAUCUUAACCAUGACCAGAAAAUGGCUUUUGAUGCAAUAAUAGAAUCAGCUGAGAGAGGACCUGGAAAACAGAUAUUUGUAGAAGGCUACGGUGGCACAGGAAAAACCUAUCGAUGGAAGGAAAUUACAACAAAGCUACGAUCAGCGGGAAAGAUAGUGCUUGUGGUAGCAUCAUCUAGCAUUGCAGCUUUGCUGCUCCAAGGUGGAACAACAGCGCAUUCAAGAUUCCACAUUCCAAUAAAUAUCAUGGAAGAAUCAACAUGUGAAAUAAAACGGGGCUCACAUUUGGCUGAACUGGUAAAGAAGACCUGA